AUGCCUCCAGGGAAGAGACACGGGAGCGCGCCGCCGCCGGUGCGCGGCGCGGACCGCAUCGGCGCGCUGCCCGACCCCAUCCUGCAGCACGUCCUCUCCUUCCUCCCGGCGCAGGCGGCCGUGCGGACGUGCGUGCUGGCCCGGCGCUGGCGCCACCUCUGGAGAUCCACCAGGGGCCUGCGCGUCGUGGGCCUCGACGGCGCGGACGCCGUCCAGGGCCUCCGCAAGUUCAUGGACCACCUGCUGGUCCUGCGCGACCGCGCCGCCGACCUGGACGCCGUCGAGAUCAGGUUCGACCGGUUCUCGGUGGCCGACGACGAGGCCUACGUGAACCUCUGGACCCGCUUCGCCGUCAUGAGCAGGGUCCGCGAGCUCACCGUCCACAUCGGCGCCUCCUCGUACCUCGACCUAGACAACCUGCCUCUCGUCUCCCAGCACCUGCGAGUCAUGAACCUCGACGGCCUAAGCCUGCAGCAGAAAUUUCUUGAUCUAGCAGGCUGCCCGGCGCUGGAGGUUCUGAAUAUGCAGCAUUGCGACAUCAGUGUUGGUAGGAUAUCCUCCCGUUCCCUGAAGCAUUUGAGCCUCAGAAGCUGCCGCUCCAACUCGAAUUGCUGGGUCCAUGUUUCUACCCCGGGCCUCGUCUCCCUGGUGCUGGUUAGAUUUGGGGGCACAACCCCUUUUCUUGAGAACAUGGCGCUGCUAGAGACUGCGCGUCUUGAUCUUAGCGAUGACUUCGAUGUCUGUUUCGAUUACGACUCCGAUGAGAAUUCUGUUCCUUUCAAUAAAGAUGACAGUGGCGAUUCCGUGCUCCUGGGUGCUCUCUCAGGUGCCAAACAUCUUGAGCUGGUAUCUGCAUUUCAAAAUUUCGUUUUCAGAAGAGAUUUGAGACAGUGCCCUACAUUCAGCAAGUUAAAGACUUUAUUACUCAAUGAGGACUGGUCUGAGGCUCCUGACUUGGAUGCACUAGCUUGUGUUCUGAAACACUCACCAGUUCUAGAGAAGCUCACUCUUCAGCUCUUUACCAACAAGGGACCAAAACAAGAAAUGAAAAUGAAAGGAAGCUACAGUUCAGCGGAGAGGUCGGCUGCAAUAUCAGAGCACCUUAAAAUAGUUGAAGUCCAGUGCAAUGUGGUCAAUCAGGGAGUUUUCAAAGUUUUGAAGUUCCUCUGUGCAUUUAAUAUACGAUUCAAUUUUGAGUAG
RNAcentral lists this ribosomal RNA (1200 nucleotides) under Triticum aestivum (bread wheat). RNAcentral describes it as "partial small subunit ribosomal RNA". Lineage: Eukaryota; Viridiplantae; Streptophyta; Magnoliopsida; Poales; Poaceae. The record is from RNAcentral.